GGUGAGUAACACGUGGGAAACCUGCCCAGAAGCGGGGGAUAACACCUGGAAACAGAUGCUAAUACCGCAUAACAACUUGGACCGCAUGGUCCGAGUUUGAAAGAUGGCUUCGGCUAUCACUUUUGGAUGGUCCCGCGGCGUAUUAGCUAGAUGGUGGGGUAACGGCUCACCAUGGCAAUGAUACGUAGCCGACCUGAGAGGGUAAUCGGCCACAUUGGGACUGAGACACGGCCCAAACUCCUACGGGAGGCAGCAGUAGGGAAUCUUCCACAAUGGACGAAAGUCUGAUGGAGCAACGCCGCGUGAGUGAAGAAGGGUUUCGGCUCGUAAAACUCUGUUGUUAAAGAAGAACAUAUCUGAGAGUAACUGUUCAGGUAUUGACGGUAUUUAACCAGAAAGCCACGGCUAACUACGUGCCAGCAGCCGCGGUAAUACGUAGGUGGCAAGCGUUGUCCGGAUUUAUUGGGCGUAAAGCGAGCGCAGGCGGUUUUUUAAGUCUGAUGUGAAAGCCUUCGGCUCAACCGAAGAAGUGCAUCGGAAACUGGGAAACUUGAGUGCAGAAGAGGACAGUGGAACUCCAUGUGUAGCGGUGAAAUGCGUAGAUAUAUGGAAGAACACCAGUGGCGAAGGCGGCUGUCUGGUCUGUAACUGACGCUGAGGCUCGAAAGUAUGGGUAGCAAACAGGAUUAGAUACCCUGGUAGUCCAUACCGUAAACGAUGAAUGCUAAGUGUUGGAGGGUUUCCGCCCUUCAGUGCUGCAGCUAACGCAUUAAGCAUUCCGCCUGGGGAGUACGGCCGCAAGGCUGAAACUCAAAGGAAUUGACGGGGGCCCGCACAAGCGGUGGAGCAUGUGGUUUAAUUCGAAGCUACGCGAAGAACCUUACCAGGUCUUGACAUACUAUGCAAAUCUAAGAGAUUAGACGUUCCCUUCGGGGACAUGGAUACAGGUGGUGCAUGGUUGUCGUCAGCUCGUGUCGUGAGAUGUUGGGUUAAGUCCCGCAACGAGCGCAACCCUUAUUAUCAGUUGCCAGCAUUAAGUUGGGCACUCUGGUGAGACUGCCGGUGACAAACCGGAGGAAGGUGGGGAUGACGUCAAAUCAUCAUGCCCCUUAUGACCUGGGCUACACACGUGCUACAAUGGAUGGUACAACGAGUUGCGAACUCGCGAGAGUAAGCUAAUCUCUUAAAGCCAUUCUCAGUUCGGAUUGUAGGCUGCAACUCGCCUACAUGAAGUCGGAAUCGCUAGUAAUCGCGGAUCAGCAUGCCGCGGUGAAUACGUUCCCGGGCCUUGUACACACCGCCCGUCACACC
RNAcentral lists this ribosomal RNA (1311 nucleotides) under Lactiplantibacillus plantarum subsp. plantarum. RNAcentral's name for it is "bacterial SSU rRNA". It matches the Rfam family "Bacterial small subunit ribosomal RNA", at positions 105 to 1403 of the family's 1533-position model. Lineage: Bacteria; Bacillati; Bacillota; Bacilli; Lactobacillales; Lactobacillaceae. The record is from RNAcentral.